AUUGAACGCUGGCGGCAGGCCUAACACAUGCAAGUCGAGCGGAUGAAGGGAGCUUGCUCCUGGAUUCAGCGGCGGACGGGUGAGUAAUGCCUAGGAAUCUGCCUGGUAGUGGGGGAUAACGUCCGGAAACGGGCGCUAAUACCGCAUACGUCCUGAGGGGAAAGGGGGGGAUCUUCGGAACUCACGGUAUCAGAUGAGCCUAGGUCGGAUUAGCUAGUUGGUGGGGUAAAGGCCUACCAAGGCGACGAUCCGUAACUGGUCUGAGAGGAUGAUCAGUCACACUGGAACUGAGACACGGUCCAGACUCCUACGGGAGGCAGCAGUGGGGAAUAUUGGACAAUGGGCGAAAGCCUGAUCCAGCCAUGCCGCGUGUGUGAAGAAGGUCUUCGGAUUGUAAAGCACUUUAAGUUGGGAGGAAGGGCAGUAAGUUAAUACCUUGCUGUUUUGACGUUACCAACAGAAUAAGCACCGGCUAACUUCGUG
RNAcentral lists this ribosomal RNA (483 nucleotides) under uncultured bacterium. RNAcentral's name for it is "partial 16S ribosomal RNA". It matches the Rfam family "Bacterial small subunit ribosomal RNA", at positions 30 to 507 of the family's 1533-position model. The record is from RNAcentral.